GACGAACGCUGGCGGCGUGCUUAACACAUGCAAGUCGAACGGAAAGGCCCUGCUUUUGUGGGGUGCUCGAGUGGCGAACGGGUGAGUAACACGUGAGUAACCUGCCCUUGACUUUGGGAUAACUUCAGGAAACUGGGGCUAAUACCGGAUAGGAGCUCCUGCUGCAUGGUGGGGGUUGGAAAGUUUCGGCGGUUGGGGAUGGACUCGCGGCUUAUCAGCUUGUUGGUGGGGUAGUGGCUUACCCAGGCUUUGACGGGUAGCCGGCCUGAGAGGGUGACCGGCCACAUUGGGACUAAGAUACGGCCCAGACUCCUACGGGAGGCAGCAGUGGGGAAUAUUGCACAAUGGGCGGAAGCCUGAUGCAGCAACGCCGCGUGCGGGAUGACGGCCUUCGGGUUGUAAACCGCUUUCGCCUGUGACGAAGCGUGAGUGACGGUAAUGGGUAAAGAAGCACCGGCUAACUACGUG
Molecule: ribosomal RNA, 468 nt
Filed under: uncultured bacterium
Lineage: Bacteria
Description: partial 16S ribosomal RNA
Rfam family: Bacterial small subunit ribosomal RNA
Source: RNAcentral